GUCAAUAUAAAAAUUAUAGGUGCCCAUUUUAGGGAGAAUAGGGAAUGGAGUGGAAAUCUCCAGCGGACCCGCCACUGUAAAGGGGAGCCUUUAAACACUAUGCCACUGGAUAUUAAUCUGGGAAGGCGUUUGAAGGUGUUGAACCUGAGCCAGGAGACCUGCCUAUAAUUUAUUGACUCA
This 180-nucleotide non-coding RNA is filed under the name Caminicella sporogenes. Lineage: Bacteria; Bacillati; Bacillota; Clostridia; Peptostreptococcales; Caminicellaceae. The record is from RNAcentral. RNAcentral also lists the same sequence under 1 other name.